UUUAACUGAAGAGUUUGAUCAUGGCUCAGAUUGAACGCUGGCGGCAGGCUUAACACAUGCAAGUCGAGCGGGGGAAGGUAGCUUGCUACUGGACCUAGCGGCGGACGGGUGAGUAAUGCUUAGGAAUCUGCCUAUUAGUGGGGGACAACAUCUCGAAAGGGAUGCUAAUACCGCAUACGUCCUACGGGAGAAAGCAGGGGAUCUUCGGACCUUGCGCUAAUAGAUGAGCCUAAGUCGGAUUAGCUAGUUGGUGGGGUAAAGGCCUACCAAGGCGACGAUCUGUAGCGGGUCUGAGAGGAUGAUCCGCCACACUGGGACUGAGACACGGCCCAGACUCCUACGGGAGGCAGCAGUGGGGAAUAUUGGACAAUGGGGGGAACCCUGAUCCAGCCAUGCCGCGUGUGUGAAGAAGGCCUUAUGGUUGUAAAGCACUUUAAGCGAGGAGGAGGCUACUUUAGUUAAUACCUAGAGAUAGUGGACGUUACUCGCAGAAUAAGCACCGGCUAACUCUGUGCCAGCAGCCGCGGUAAUACAGAGGGUGCGAGCGUUAAUCGGAUUUACUGGGCGUAAAGCGUGCGUAGGCGGCUUAUUAAGUCGGAUGUGAAAUCCCCGAGCUUAACUUGGGAAUUGCAUUCGAUACUGGUGAGCUAGAGUAUGGGAGAGGAUGGUAGAAUUCCAGGUGUAGCGGUGAAAUGCGUAGAGAUCUGGAGGAAUACCGAUGGCGAAGGCAGCCAUCUGGCCUAAUACUGACGCUGAGGUACGAAAGCAUGGGGAGCAAACAGGAUUAGAUACCCUGGUAGUCCAUGCCGUAAACGAUGUCUACUAGCCGUUGGGGCCUUUGAGGCUUUAGUGGCGCAGCUAACGCGAUAAGUAGACCGCCUGGGGAGUACGGUCGCAAGACUAAAACUCAAAUG
Molecule: ribosomal RNA, 914 nt
Filed under: Escherichia coli
Lineage: Bacteria; Pseudomonadati; Pseudomonadota; Gammaproteobacteria; Enterobacterales; Enterobacteriaceae
Description: bacterial SSU rRNA
Rfam family: Bacterial small subunit ribosomal RNA
Source: RNAcentral